Long non-coding RNA from Canis lupus familiaris (dog), 1869 nucleotides. RefSeq lists it as uncharacterized. NCBI's taxonomy places the organism in Eukaryota, Metazoa, Chordata, Mammalia, Carnivora, Canidae. The transcript is spliced from 3 exons. The record is from RefSeq and is a predicted model, not a curated record.
UCUGAAAUUCCGGGCUUGUUAGAUGAGUUUAACAUCAGACUAGGUACAACAGAAGACUGGUUGAGCAAACUUAAAGACAGAUUCAGGCACAGAGAAAUCAAAGGAGUGGGUUUGUACAAGCCUGGAGAUUUUCCAGAUGAAUGUGGUGUGUUCAGAGAUGGACCUGGAGUGAUGGCAGAGCCGGGACUGGAGAGUGGUGACUGAGAUCGUGAGGGAUAUGAGGCAUGGUGAAGUCUCUCAGAGAAGAAAGAGGUCCUUGAUUCUAUCUCUUCGGGGCUGAUCCACCGAAAUGGAAGAGGAUCUCAGAAUUUGUCAACUUUAUCCCACCUGGUGAAGUUUUCAAUGGGAACAAAGAUCUCUUUCUUCUAUCAUGGACAAACUCAUGUCCCAACCAUGUUCGGACCCCAAUCCAAAGAAUUCGAAACAGUAGCACUUGUAUCCCCAAGAAGCCAAAAGGAAGCAGAAGGACCCAGCACACUGGCAGCGAGGAGCUUUCUAUAACAGAUCCUUGAGAAGAAAAGAGAAAAAGGCCUUUAGAGCAUCAUGCAGAACGACAACUAUGUCAGGGCAGCCAUGACAUUAAUAUUUGGGGGUAACUAGUGGUUCUUCUACUGAACAAGAGGAACAGCUCAUUCUCUCUGAUGAGAAUAUUAGAAUCAGGCUCAGAAGUAGACUCACUGACGAAAGAGAGAAUUUAAUGCCACCAAGCAAAACUUGUGCCACUCUCAUUUUCCCAACUGUAUAUGCCCUCUUUGACAAAUAUGCCGUUCUUUUCUCAACAGCUCUCUGUUCAAAUCGUAUGCUAGCUCUUUAUCAAUGGAAUAAAUGAAUUUCAUGCUUCAAGGGGAAAAAAGGAAGCUGCAAGAAGAAUUGAAAUGUUUAAGAACUGCUUUUGAAAGGAUUAUAUACAUACUUACAUGCACUCACUUUUAAUGAGGAAAUAUAAAACGUGUUCUCCACUUGUUAUUUCUCUGACAUUAAGAUCUCUCUCCUCCUGCCUUUUCCUCUCCCUCCUUCCCUCUCCCUCCCACCCUCUCCUCUCUGUCUCUCCCUCCACCACCACUCUCCGUUUUCAGCUAAAAUGUCAGAAUCUACAUAACUAAAACAUAACCACCGCAUGCAAUGAUAAAUGAGACCAAACAGCCCUGGUUUGAGGAAUCUGGGGCAGGGCCAUUGGUUGGCACCACCUUUGUUAUACCAGAGACGGAACAAGGUAUCAGCCCCAUGAAGAGAUGCCCUUGAGAUUUCCAGGUGCACUGGAGCAGGAGAAGCUGCCACUGGGUGCGGGACGGCAUGGUAGGAGAGAGGAGGGGAAGUAAACACGCCCCAUGGCUUUCCCCCCUUGAGCUCUGACAGAGCUAUGGGGAACCAUUCUCUCCACCCAGUGCCCCAGAUGCAAGGACUGGUGUGAGCCAAGCACCCCACCCCCACCCCACCUCCCUCUGAGCUAGGUCUGGCUCCUCACCUUGCCUGCUUCCCAAGCCCUGCAUACCCUGUCCCCAAGCCAGGCUCCCUCUGCCUGACAGCAGCUGGUCUGGCCCCAGGCUCUCCCAACCCAGGGGGCAGCUCCUUGGAGCAAAAUGCACAAGAGCAGGCGAGCCAAAGAAAGUGAUCGGUGUAAUUAUUUCUGUUUGAAUAGGUUUACUCCUUUUUUUGCUGAAAACCCAGACUGUGGGCUGUGUCAUCAAGAGCCAAGGGAUGCGGGUUGUUCAUCCUGUCUUUAAGGCAGUAAUGACGUGUCCCUCGCUAGGAAGCAAGGACGCAGUAUGGAUCAGGGGUGGGGGGAAGAAGCCGAGACUGGCAGGGAUGCAAAGGAGACACACAGGCAGAGCUAGAGGAGAGGAGUGCAGAGAGAGGGAAAUAAAACCA